AAAUUGAAGAGUUUGAUCAUGGCUCAGAUUGAACGCUGGCGGCAGGCCUAACACAUGCAAGUCGAACGGUAACAGGAAGCAGCUUGCUGCUUUGCUGACGAGUGGCGGACGGGUGAGUAAUGUCUGGGAAACUGCCUGAUGGAGGGGGAUAACUACUGGAAACGGUGGCUAAUACCGCAUAACGUCGCAAGACCAAAGAGGGGGACCUUCGGGCCUCUUGCCAUCAGAUGUGCCCAGAUGGGAUUAGCUUGUUGGUGAGGUAACGGCUCACCAAGGCGACGAUCCCUAGCUGGUCUGAGAGGAUGACCAGCCACACUGGAACUGAGACACGGUCCAGACUCCUACGGGAGGCAGCAGUGGGGAAUAUUGCACAAUGGGCGCAAGCCUGAUGCAGCCAUGCCGCGUGUAUGAAGAAGGCCUUCGGGUUGUAAAGUACUUUCAGCGGGGAGGAAGGUGUUGUGGUUAAUAACCGCAGCAAUUGACGUUACCCGCAGAAGAAGCACCGGCUAACUCCGUGCCAGCAGCCGCGGUAAUACGGAGGGUGCAAGCGUUAAUCGGAAUUACUGGGCGUAAAGCGCACGCAGGCGGUCUGUCAAGUCGGAUGUGAAAUCCCCGGGCUCAACCUGGGAACUGCAUUCGAAACUGGCAGGCUUGAGUCUUGUAGAGGGGGGUAGAAUUCCAGGUGUAGCGGUGAAAUGCGUAGAGAUCUGGAGGAAUACCGGUGGCGAAGGCGGCCCCCUGGACAAAGACUGACGCUCAGGUGCGAAAGCGUGGGGAGCAAACAGGAUUAGAUACCCUGGUAGUCCACGCCGUAAACGAUGUCUACUUGGAGGUUGUGCCCUUGAGGCGUGGCUUCCGGAGCUAACGCGUUAAGUAGACCGCCUGGGGAGUACGGCCGCAAGGUUAAAACUCAAAUGAAUUGACGGGGGCCCGCACAAGCGGUGGAGCAUGUGGUUUAAUUCGAUGCAACGCGAAGAACCUUACCUGGUCUUGACAUCCACGGAAGUUUUCAGAGAUGAGAAUGUGCCUUCGGGAAC
This 1037-nucleotide ribosomal RNA is filed under the name Salmonella enterica subsp. enterica serovar Poona. Its description in RNAcentral is "bacterial SSU rRNA". It matches the Rfam family "Bacterial small subunit ribosomal RNA", at positions 1 to 1027 of the family's 1533-position model. Lineage: Bacteria; Pseudomonadati; Pseudomonadota; Gammaproteobacteria; Enterobacterales; Enterobacteriaceae. RNAcentral also lists the same sequence under 1 other name. The record is from RNAcentral.